This 480-nucleotide ribosomal RNA is filed under the name uncultured Flavobacterium sp. RNAcentral's name for it is "bacterial SSU rRNA". It matches the Rfam family "Bacterial small subunit ribosomal RNA", at positions 28 to 505 of the family's 1533-position model. The record is from RNAcentral. Lineage: Bacteria; Pseudomonadati; Bacteroidota; Flavobacteriia; Flavobacteriales; Flavobacteriaceae.
GAUGAACGCUAGCGGCAGGCCUAACACAUGCAAGUCGAGGGGUAUAAUCUAGCUUGCUAGAUUAGAGACCGGCGCACGGGUGCGUAACGCGUAUGCAAUCUGCCUUGUACAAAGGGAUAGCCCAGAGAAAUUUGGAUUAAUACCUUAUAGUAUGUAAGAGUGGCAUCACUUUUAUAUUAAAGAUUUAUCGGUACAAGAUGAGCAUGCGUCCCAUUAGCUAGUUGGUAUGGUAACGGCAUACCAAGGCAACGAUGGGUAGGGGUCCUGAGAGGGAGAUCCCCCACACUGGUACUGAGACACGGACCAGACUCCUACGGGAGGCAGCAGUGAGGAAUAUUGGUCAAUGGAGGCAACUCUGAACCAGCCAUGCCGCGUGCAGGAUGACGGUCCUAUGGAUUGUAAACUGCUUUUAUACAGGAAGAAACCCUAUCACGUGUGAUAGAUUGACGGUACUGUAAGAAUAAGGAUCGGCUAACUCCG